UGAGGAAUAUUGGUCAAUGGGCGGAAGCCUGAACCAGCCAAGUCGCGUGAGGGAAGACGGUCCUAUGGAUUGUAAACCUCUUUUGCAGGGGAGCAAGGCGCGGUACGUGUACCGUGCUGGAGAGUACCCUGAGAAAAAGGCAUCGGCUAACUCCGUGCCAGCAGCCGCGGUAAUACGGAGGAUGUGAGCGUUAUCCGGAUUUAUUGGGUUUAAAGGGUGCGUAGGCGGACUGGUAAGUCAGCGGUAAAAAUUGCGGUGCUCAACGCCGUAGUGCCGUUGAAACUGCCGGUCUUGAGUGAGCGAGAAGUAUGCGGAAUGCGUGGUGUAGCGGUGAAAUGCAUAGAUAUCACGCAGAACUCCGAUUGCGAAGGCAGCAUACCGGCGCUCAACUGACGCUGAGGCACGAAAGCGUGGGGGAUCGAACAGGAUUAGAUACC
Molecule: ribosomal RNA, 437 nt
Filed under: uncultured bacterium
Lineage: Bacteria
Description: bacterial SSU rRNA
Rfam family: Bacterial small subunit ribosomal RNA
Source: RNAcentral